GGGUUUGACAUGACAAGUGGUAGUGAUCCGAAAGGUGAACGACCCGCAAGGGAGCUUGCACAGGUGUUUGCAUGGCUGUCGUCAGCUCGUGUCGUGAGAUGUUCGGUUAAGUCCGCUAACGAGCGCAACCCUCGCUGUAUGUUACAUGUGUCAUACAGGACCGCCGGUAUCAAGCCGGAGGAAGGUGGGGAUGACGUCAAGUCCGCAUGGCCUUUAUGUCCGGGGCUACACACACGCUACAAUGGUCGGUACAAUGGGUUGCUAAGCCGCGAGGUGGAGCCAAUCCCCCAAAGCCGGCCUCAGUUCAGAUUGCAGGCUGCAACUCGCCUGCAUGAAGCUGGAGUUGCUAGUAAACGCGCGUCAGCUAUAGUGCGUUGAAUACGUUCUCGGGCCUU
This 395-nucleotide ribosomal RNA is filed under the name uncultured Anaerolineaceae bacterium. RNAcentral's name for it is "bacterial SSU rRNA". It matches the Rfam family "Bacterial small subunit ribosomal RNA", at positions 977 to 1382 of the family's 1533-position model. The record is from RNAcentral. Lineage: Bacteria; Bacillati; Chloroflexota; Anaerolineae; Anaerolineales; Anaerolineaceae.